GCGCCCGUAGCUCAGCUGGAUAGAGCGCUGCCCUCCGCAGGCAGAGGCCGGGAGCUCGAAUCUCUUCGGGCGCGCCA
This 77-nucleotide transfer RNA is filed under the name Gammaproteobacteria bacterium. RNAcentral describes it as "tRNA-Arg". It matches the Rfam family "tRNA". From Rfam's summary of the family: Transfer RNA (tRNA) molecules are approximately 80 nucleotides in length. Their secondary structure includes four short double-helical elements and three loops (D, anti-codon, and T loops). Lineage: Bacteria; Pseudomonadati; Pseudomonadota; Gammaproteobacteria. RNAcentral also lists the same sequence under 1 other name. The record is from RNAcentral.